This 380-nucleotide unclassified non-coding RNA is filed under the name Hevea brasiliensis (rubber tree). The record is from RNAcentral. Lineage: Eukaryota; Viridiplantae; Streptophyta; Magnoliopsida; Malpighiales; Euphorbiaceae.
AAAUAGUCUUAGCUCUCCUCUUUUAAGAACAAUUGAGAUUUGAGGGAAUGCUUACCUUACCCUCUAUUAAUUCACUCAUGUUUAGAGGGGGCAUAACUCAUUUACCCCUCCUUACCUUUAUUUACCCCUCCUCCACCCUCAUCCAAACCCUGGAGAUUGAGUUUUGCAUGCAAUCUUUGAGUUUCAUUUUAUAAGCUAAAUGAAAAUUUUUGUUCUUUUUAAAGAAAUGCAGAUAACAUCAAAUUUUAUCAUAUGCAAUAUCUUUCUGUAAUUGUUUAUGAUAUGAAGGAUGAUAAGAAAACUUUAUUGUUUUUAGUGCAUAAUAUAUUUGGCACUAUCCAACCAUUAUGGCUACUGGUUUCUGUUAUUGAUGAUGCUUA